CAGAGUUAGCUAUGGAAACUCCUGUCUUGCCUCUCUGUCUCCUAUUGCUAUGGAUCUCAGAUGUCACUGGAGAAACUAUGACACAGUUUCCUGCCUCCCUUAGUUUUUCUCAAGGUGAAACAGCAACCCUGACAUGCAGAUCCAUUCAGAGUGUUGGUAGCUACUUAUCCUGGUACCAACAGAAACCAAUGCAGGUUCCCAAGCUCCUUAUUUAUGGUUCGUCUACCAAGGCCAGGGAUGUCCCAGCCCGGUUCAGUGGCAGUGGCUCUGGGACAGACUUUACUCUUACCAUCAGCAAUCUGGAACCUGAAGAUGCUGCCAGUUACUACUGUCAGUCAAUGAGUGGUUGGUCAUCCACAGUGAUUCACCAUGUGACAAAAACCUCAAAGAGACCACAGAGUAUUUAA
Molecule: non-coding RNA, 407 nt
Organism: Arvicola amphibius (Eurasian water vole)
Lineage: Eukaryota; Metazoa; Chordata; Mammalia; Rodentia; Cricetidae
Source: the annotation of a RefSeq genome assembly